RNAcentral lists this ribosomal RNA (484 nucleotides) under uncultured bacterium. RNAcentral describes it as "partial 16S ribosomal RNA". It matches the Rfam family "Bacterial small subunit ribosomal RNA", at positions 29 to 507 of the family's 1533-position model. The record is from RNAcentral.
AAUGAACGCUGGCGGCACGCCUAACACAUGCAAGUCGAACGGGGGAAUGGGGUCUGCUGCCGGAAGCAACCGCGGAGGGGGGAGACAUGCCCUUGAAUCUGGCAUGUAUUGCGGGAUAACGUGCUGAAACCGGCGCUUAUAACCGAUACGUCCUGAUGGAGAAAGUGGGUGGGCCUCGGAUCGCACGCCUUGAUAGUAGGCUAGGUCGGAAUAGCUAGUUGGUGGGGUAAAGGCCUACCCAGGCGACGAUCCGGAACUGGGCUUAGAGGAUGAUCAGUCACACUGGCACUGAGACACGGUCCCGACUCCUACGGGAGGACGCAGUGGGGAAUAUUGGACGAUGGGCGAAAGCCUGAUACAGCCAUGCCGCGUGUGUGCAGAAGGUCUUCGGCUUCUAAAGCAAUUUAAGUUGGGAGGAAGGGCAGUACGUUAAUACCUUGCUGUUUUGACGUUACCAACAGAAUAAGCACCGGCUAACUUCGUG